Small nucleolar RNA from Cephalotus follicularis, 87 nucleotides. It matches the Rfam family "Small nucleolar RNA R24". From Rfam's summary of the family: snoR24 is a C/D box small nucleolar RNA which acts as a methylation guide for 18S ribosomal RNA in plants. The record is from Rfam. Lineage: Eukaryota; Viridiplantae; Streptophyta; Magnoliopsida; Oxalidales; Cephalotaceae.
UGAGCUGUGAUGAGAAGAUAUCAUGUAAGAAGAUCCCUGGUGGCAUCCUCAGUGAAAUAUUCUUGUUAUGCCUGGCUUCUGAGCUGU